UCUGUCCCUCAAGGAGAUGCAGGAAUGGCUGCUGUGUUACAUGUUUAUCAGUAGGUAGCAGAAAGAAAAGAGUCUAUGUCUACAUUCAGGGGUUGGACCUAGGAACAUCUCAAUGAUUAGCAGUCUAAUAUC
This is a small nucleolar RNA of Apodemus sylvaticus (European woodmouse), 132 nucleotides long. RefSeq annotates it as small nucleolar RNA SNORA17. The record is from RefSeq and is a predicted model, not a curated record. The transcript has a single exon. Lineage: Eukaryota; Metazoa; Chordata; Mammalia; Rodentia; Muridae.